UACGUAGGGGGCUAGCGUUGUCCGGAUUUAUUGGGCGUAAAGAGCGUGUAGGCGGCCAGAUAGGUCUGCUGUGAAAACUCGAGGCUCAACCUCGAGCUGUCGGCGGAAACCAUUUGGCUAGAGUCCGGAAGAGGAAAGUGGAAUUCCUGGUGUAGCGGUGAAAUGCGCAGAUAUCAGGAGGAACACCGGUGGCGAAGGCGGGUCUCUGGGCAGUAACUGACGCUGAGGAGCGAAAGCGUGGGGAGCGAACAGG
RNAcentral lists this ribosomal RNA (253 nucleotides) under uncultured bacterium. Its description in RNAcentral is "partial 16S ribosomal RNA". It matches the Rfam family "Bacterial small subunit ribosomal RNA", at positions 524 to 776 of the family's 1533-position model. The record is from RNAcentral.